UCCCUGGUGGCUCAGAUGGUAAAGAAUCUGCCUGUAAUGCAGGCGACCUGGGUUCAAUCCCUGGGUGGGGAA
Molecule: non-coding RNA, 72 nt
Organism: Bos taurus (domestic cattle)
Lineage: Eukaryota; Metazoa; Chordata; Mammalia; Artiodactyla; Bovidae
Source: Rfam